GGAUGAACGCUGGCGGCGUGCCUACUACCUGCAAGUCGAGCGAACGGACGAGAAGCUUGCUUCUCUGAUGUUAGCGGCGGACGGGUGAGUAACACGUGGAUAACCUACCUAUAAGACUGGGAUAACUUCGGGAAACCGUAGCUAAUACCGGAUAAUAUUUUGAACCGCAUGGUUCAAAAGUGAAAGACGGUCUUGCUGUCACUUAUAGAUGGAUCCGCGCUGCAUUAGCUAGUUGGUAAGGUAACGGCUUACCAAGGCAACGAUGCAUAGCCGACCUGAGAGGGUGAUCGGCCACACUGGAACUGAGACACGGUCCAGGCUCCUACGGGAGGCAGCAGUAGGGAAUCUUCCGCAAUGGGCGAAAGCCUGACGGAGCAACGCCGCGUGAGUGAUGAAGGUCUUCGGAUCGUAAAACUCUGUUAUUAGGGAAGAACAUAUGUGUAAGUAACUGUGCACAUCUUGACGGUACCUAAUCAGAAAGCCACGGCUAACUACGUG
This 498-nucleotide ribosomal RNA is filed under the name uncultured bacterium. RNAcentral's name for it is "partial 16S ribosomal RNA". It matches the Rfam family "Bacterial small subunit ribosomal RNA", at positions 27 to 507 of the family's 1533-position model. The record is from RNAcentral.